CUACUCUGGUAUCACUUCAGAUUAAAUAAAUCUUUUGCCUUUUCUAAAGAUUUCCCUGGAGGGGAACAUCCUUGAGUAUUUGCUGCAUUCAGCUGUUUGCAAUAAUUCAGCUUUGUGUUU
Small nuclear RNA from Bombina bombina (fire-bellied toad), 120 nucleotides. RefSeq annotates it as U5 spliceosomal RNA. Lineage: Eukaryota; Metazoa; Chordata; Amphibia; Anura; Bombinatoridae. The transcript has a single exon. The record is from RefSeq and is a predicted model, not a curated record.